Gavia stellata (red-throated loon) is the source of this 229-nucleotide long non-coding RNA. RefSeq lists it as uncharacterized. The record is from RefSeq and is a predicted model, not a curated record. The transcript is spliced from 4 exons. Lineage: Eukaryota; Metazoa; Chordata; Aves; Gaviiformes; Gaviidae.
GCUCCCGGUCGCCGCGACCCCGCGGGGAGGCCCAGAACUACGCUGGGGCUGCUGAAACGGCUCCCCGCAGAAAGAUGUCUUGAAGUAAAGAAACCUGCUCUUUCUGGAUAAAUGUGACACAAUAGGAGUGGGAGCAGGUCGCUCUUUGGAGAUGGCCCUAAUGUGAAGAUCUUCACAAGUCCUGUGGAAGGCAGUGAGACAGCAAGAGCAGGAGAAUUCUUCUGGGUGA